Molecule: ribosomal RNA, 391 nt
Filed under: uncultured bacterium
Lineage: Bacteria
Description: bacterial SSU rRNA
Rfam family: Bacterial small subunit ribosomal RNA
Source: RNAcentral
CUUUGACAAUGGGCGAAAGCCUGAUGGAGCAACGCCGCGUGCAGGAUGAAGGCCUUCGGGUUGUAAACUGCUUUUAUAAGCGAGAAAUAUGAUGGUAACUUAUGAAACAGCAUCGGCUAACUCCGUGCCAGCAGCCGCGGUAAUACGGAGGAUGCGAGCGUUAUCCGGAUUUAUUGGGUUUAAAGGGUGCGUAGGCGGGCUGUUAAGUCAGCGGUAAAAUUGCGGGGCUCAACCCCGUCGAGCCGUUGAAACUGGCGGCCUUGAGUAGGCGAGAAGUGUGCGGAAUGCGUGGUGUAGCGGUGAAAUGCAUAGAUAUCACGCAGAACUCCGAUUGCGAAGGCAGCACGCCGGCGCCUUACUGACGCUGAAGCACGAAAGCGUGGGUAUCGAA